Molecule: ribosomal RNA, 106 nt
Filed under: Myotis davidii
Lineage: Eukaryota; Metazoa; Chordata; Mammalia; Chiroptera; Vespertilionidae
Source: RNAcentral
GUCUACGGCCAUACCACCCUGAACGCGCCCGAUCUCGUCUGAUCUCAGAAGCUAAGCAGGGUCGGGCCUGGUUAGUACUUGGAUGGGAGAUAAAGAGGCUUAGAUA